GGAUUGUGGCUCAAUGGUAGAGCGCUCACCUAGCAUGCACAAGGUCCUGGGUUCCAUCCUCAGCACCA
Molecule: transfer RNA, 68 nt
Filed under: Marmota monax (woodchuck)
Lineage: Eukaryota; Metazoa; Chordata; Mammalia; Rodentia; Sciuridae
Description: tRNA.Undet
Source: RNAcentral